GACGAACGCUGGCGGCGUGCUUAACACAUGCAAGUCGAACGGUGAAGGGGUCUGCUUUUGUGGGCCCUGGAUGAGUGGCGAACGGGUGAGUAACACGUGAGUAACCUGCCCCCUUCUUCUGGAUAACCGCAUGAAAGUGUGGCUAAUACGGGAUAUUCUGGGUCUGUCGCAUGAUGGGUCUGGGAAAGAUUGCGCCUUUGGGUGUUUUUGGUGGGGGAUGGGCUCGCGGCCUAUCAGCUUGUUGGUGGGGUGAUGGCCUACCAAGGCGGUGACGGGUAGCCGGCCUGAGAGGGUGGACGGUCACACGGGGACUGAGACACGGGCCAGACGCCUACGGGAGGCAGCAGUGGGGAAGAGUGCACAAUGGGCGCAAGCCUGAUGCAGCGACGCCGCGUGAGGGAUGGAGGCCUUCGGGUUGUAAACCUCUUUCGCCAGUGAAGCAGGCCUGCUCCUUGUGGGUGGGUUGACGGUAGCUGGAUAAGAAGCGCCGGCUAACUACGUG
RNAcentral lists this ribosomal RNA (502 nucleotides) under uncultured bacterium. RNAcentral's name for it is "partial 16S ribosomal RNA". It matches the Rfam family "Bacterial small subunit ribosomal RNA", at positions 28 to 507 of the family's 1533-position model. The record is from RNAcentral.